This 254-nucleotide ribosomal RNA is filed under the name uncultured bacterium. RNAcentral's name for it is "partial 16S ribosomal RNA". It matches the Rfam family "Bacterial small subunit ribosomal RNA", at positions 524 to 776 of the family's 1533-position model. The record is from RNAcentral.
UACGAAGGGGGCUAGCGUUGUUCGGAAUUACUGGGCGUAAAGCGCGCGCAGGCGGUCUUCCAAGUCAGUGGUGAAAGCCCGGAGCUCAACUCCGGAACUGCCAUUGAAACUGUUGGACUUGAGUACGAGAGAGGUGAGUGGAAUUCCCAGUGUAGAGGUGAAAUUCGUUAGAUAUUGGGAAGAACACCGGUGGCGAAGGCGGCUCACUGGCUCGUAACUGACGCUCAGGCGCGACAGCGUGGGGAUCAAACAGG